CAAAUCUGAAGGGAAGACCCUAGUGCGAGGAGCACUUUGUGAGACGAAAGAUUCGAAGAAGGGAAGUUAUACCUGUGAUUGGUGAUGGGAAUCCAGCACUGCUCCUGUACCUCCUUCCUAACGGUAACAAUGAGAACAAGGCAUGACCUGGGUGACUGGGGACCUUAAUGAUGGGCACUACUUUUUUUGAGGCUUCACUCCUUGAAGAUGUCCUGGAUACUAUGGAGACCCACUUGUUAGGAUCAUGACUUGGAUGUGGUCAUGAAGCAAAAAGAAGAUUGAGAUGAAUUUUCCAUGGGAGUCUGAAUGUAUGAAAUGCAGCAUGAAACAAGACCAUUGAGCUGUACCAUCCAGAAAACCAUUGAUUUAACCCGCUGUCUAAAUACAGGACAAUUUAUAAUGACCAAAUAACUUACUAACGCGUUAAGUCUUUGGAUUGUGGAGGAAACCAGAGUACCCAGAGGAACCCACGAACACAUGGGAAGAACGUACAAACUUUCUUAUACGGAGGAAGCCAGAACUGAACCCAUGAACUCUGAUGCCACGAACCGAGGUAGCGUCGUGCUAACCGCUACACUACCAUGUCACCCAAUCAAACUGAUGGCUUCAAGCAUAAGCCUCACAGUGAUGACUGGUGAUUCUUGAAGGUAAAAUAAAGCUUACACAAUACAUCUUUAAUGUUUCCUUACUCAGCCCAGAACCACCAAACGCAUGCAAAACUUUGUAUUUUGUAAAAUCUCUUCUGUGCACUCAUUUACACAUUAUUAUGAAAGCAAAAUAUGAGAAAUUACAAACAUACAAACUCUCACAAGGUUUUGUGAUGUGCCUUUUAAAUGAUCAAUUUCUGCAAGCUGUGGGAGAGGAAUGUCUUAUACAAUGUCACCGAAGACAAUUUGUUGCUCCAGUUUCAAUUCAGCUGCCAUCAGAGACGUGGAAUUCAGGCACUUCUGAUGCAUUUUGAUCUCAGUUCAAUUAUUUAUCCCUGCCAUAGUUAUGAAUGUACGUUCUCCUUCACAGUUUAUAACUGGCAGGGUCAGUAAGAGUUUCCAUAAAAUGCACACAUUAAGGAUUGCUGAAUAAAGGCUUCUUUGUUUUAGAAUUUUCAACAGUUUUGCAGAAUAUUUAUUUGCUCUUUCUGUACAUAAAAUCUGUAUUACGUGAAUUCAGCAAAAUUCUGUUCCAGUCAUUGGGUUCAAAUACUGCAAAUAUAGUGGCAUAUUUCUGAACAUGAGUGGUGUCCAACACGCUGUGUACACAUCCUCUCUGCAAUAAAAGCAGACUAAUAACUGGUCAAAUAAAACAUUGAAGAUUUCAGAACAAAACUGCUGGCUUCCCUCCUAGUCAAGUCUCGGGUUAUUGUGAUUCAAUGGCAAAAAUUGUUAGAUCACAUUUAUAAUUUUGUGAAAGAACUUUCACGCGUUUUAACUUCCAUUUUCAAAAUUCUGGAACUAAUCACCCAGGAAAGCUACAAUUGUUUCAAGUGACUGCAGUAAUCGAAUGUUUUACUCAGGAUGAUGUCCCUUUUCUAGCUGCCAGAUGAUCAUUUUAUUCUGUUGAAGAAUGCUAUCUCAAAAUUGUGCCAUUUAGCAUUUUCCUAUACCCUCAUCUUGUUGUGAGUGGAAGCAACUUCUGGUUGGAUGUCAUGUGAACAAUUCAUGUCUUUUGACAGCUUUUCUAGGGCACACUAAAUUUUACAAUAGUUUAGAGAUGGGGAUUUCACAGAAGCUCUAUGUUGAAUCUGACAGAUGCUUGAAUGUCAAAAAUGACAAGCUGCACUCAUGAAAAAAUUAUUUACAGCUAAAUUGUGGACACCAAGUUGAAAUGUUUAGUGACAGAAGAAACAAGGAAUUUUUUUUAAAAAAAGCAGUUGAACAAAUCUGGUGUUUUAAAUCAUGAUUUUGUUGGCCUUCUGCUAAUAAUGUACCAUAUUCCAAAUACAUACGGGUUAGGGUUAUGAGUUGCGGACAUGCUAUGUUGGUGCCAGAGACGUGGCAACACUUGUCGGCUGCCCAGCACAAACCUCGCUGAGUUGAUUUGA
Molecule: long non-coding RNA, 2038 nt
Organism: Mobula hypostoma (lesser devil ray)
Lineage: Eukaryota; Metazoa; Chordata; Chondrichthyes; Myliobatiformes; Myliobatidae
Exons: 4
Source: RefSeq, a predicted model, not a curated record